Long non-coding RNA from Dreissena polymorpha, 328 nucleotides. RefSeq lists it as uncharacterized. NCBI's taxonomy places the organism in Eukaryota, Metazoa, Mollusca, Bivalvia, Myida, Dreissenidae. The transcript is spliced from 4 exons. The record is from RefSeq and is a predicted model, not a curated record.
UUGCAGUCGAUGUUUUGAAAUGUGAGGGAACGUUGUAUGAAAGGACAAGUAUCAUCAUGAAGACUGCCUGCAUAGUUGCGCUCCUGUUCACUUGCAUUGUCAUGGUUACCAUGCCAAUGACUGAAGCCCAAGGCUACCCUCCACCCAACCGUGACUGCCAUUGCAGUAGCGGACCGUGUCGUUACGGAACGAGUUACGCCGGUCCGUGUCCAUACAACUCAUAUCAGAAGAAUUGCUGUAGAAAUUAUUGAGGACCACCAAGGCACACUGGACCAUAUUGACAUUCAAAUGUCCUGGUUAGAUUGAACAAUACAAUAUCGCAAUCGUC